This 518-nucleotide ribosomal RNA is filed under the name Staphylococcus saprophyticus. RNAcentral's name for it is "partial 16S ribosomal RNA". The record is from RNAcentral. Lineage: Bacteria; Bacillati; Bacillota; Bacilli; Caryophanales; Staphylococcaceae.
UUAGUUAGCCGUGGCUUUCUGAUUAGGUACGUCAAGACGUGCACAGUUACUUACACAUUUGUUCUUCCCUAAUAACAGAGUUUUACGAGCCGAAACCCUUCAUCACUCACGCGGCGUUGCUCCGUCAGGCUUUCGCCCAUUGCGGAAGAUUCCCUACUGCUGCCUCCCGUAGGAGUCUGGACCGUGUCUCAGUUCCAGUGUGGCCGAUCACCCUCUCAGGUCGGCUACGUAUCGUCGCCUUGGUAAGCCGUUACCUUACCAACUAGCUAAUACGGCGCGGGUCCAUCUAUAAGUGAUAGCAAAACCAUCUUUCACUUUAGAACCAUGCGGUUCCAAAUGUUAUCCGGUAUUAGCUCCGGUUUCCCGAAGUUAUCCCAGUCUUAUAGGUAGGUUACCCACGUGUUACUCACCCGUCCGCCGCUAACGUCAAAGGAGCAAGCUCCUUAUCUGUUCGCUCGACAUGCAUGUAUUAGGCACGCCGCCAGCGUUCAUCCUGAGCCAGGAUCAAACUCUAUAAU